CUGGAGGUAUCAGAAGUGCGAAUGCUGACAUAAGUAACGAUAAAGCGGGUGAAAAGCCCGCUCGCCGGAAGACCAAGGGUUCCUGUCCAACGUUAAUCGGGGCAGGGUGAGUCGACCCCUAAGGCGAGGCCGAAAGGCGUAGUCGAUGGGAAACAGGUUAAUAUUCCUGUACUUGGUGUUACUGCGAAGGGGGGACGGAGAAGGCUAUGUUGGCCGGGCGACGGUUGUCCCGGUUUAAGCGUGUAGGCUGGUUUUCCAGGCAAAUCCGGAAAAUCAAGGCUGAGGCGUGAUGACGAGGCACUACGGUGCUGAAGCAACAAAUGCCCUGCUUCCAGGAAAAGCCUCUAAGCAUCAGGUAACAUCAAAUCGUACCCCAAACCGACACAGGUGGUCAGGUAGAGAAUACCAAGGCGCUUGAGAGAACUCGGGUGAAGGAACUAGGCAAAAUGGUGCCGUAACUUCGGGAGAAGGCACGC
This 476-nucleotide ribosomal RNA is filed under the name Escherichia coli. Its description in RNAcentral is "bacterial LSU rRNA". It matches the Rfam family "Bacterial large subunit ribosomal RNA", at positions 1273 to 1751 of the family's 2925-position model. The record is from RNAcentral. RNAcentral also lists the same sequence under 5 other names. Lineage: Bacteria; Pseudomonadati; Pseudomonadota; Gammaproteobacteria; Enterobacterales; Enterobacteriaceae.